AUGGUAGUCUUUGAAUGGAUGUCAACAGUUUUGCAUCUAUCUUUAUCACUCAACCCUGCCUUAUUUGUUUACAAAAACUACCAUUUGCAGAAACGGUCCACAAUUGGGAAGGCUAACCGCUCAAACCUACCUUAUGUUCACAAGAAGGGAACAAAGUCAUUUGUAGCGGUUCAACAUGAAUUAAAUUGUGGCUAUAUCAGACUAUACAAGGAGUGUUGCUCUAGUGAUAAGAAGGGAUGGGCAUCAGAAGAUGCCAGGAAUAAACAUGUUCUCUGGUCUCAGAUGGAUGGUCAAGGAGGUGAAGCAACUUUGGAGAGAGGACAUGUGGGGAGUGAUCGGAGCAGUGCUAAACUAGAUGCCAAAAGAGUAGUUCCUGAUUUGCAAAUUCGGCUUACAAAUACUAGAUGUCAAAUACUAGAAAAGUUCCUUCUUGGUGACCGGAUCAUAUGUUUGGAGCAGUACUAA
RNAcentral lists this ribosomal RNA (465 nucleotides) under Triticum aestivum (bread wheat). RNAcentral describes it as "partial small subunit ribosomal RNA". The record is from RNAcentral. Lineage: Eukaryota; Viridiplantae; Streptophyta; Magnoliopsida; Poales; Poaceae.